Molecule: ribosomal RNA, 379 nt
Filed under: Rana chensinensis (Chinese brown frog)
Lineage: Eukaryota; Metazoa; Chordata; Amphibia; Anura; Ranidae
Description: partial large subunit ribosomal RNA
Rfam family: Bacterial large subunit ribosomal RNA
Source: RNAcentral
CUUGUUCUUUAAAUGAGGACUCGUAUCAACGGCACUACGAGGGCUAUACUGUCUCCUUUUUCUAAUCAGUGAAACUGAUCUCCCCGUGAAGAAGCGGGGAUUAUAAUAUAAGACGAGAAGACCCCAUGGAGCUUUAAACUCACCAUGCACCUCUGUGCUCCCAUACCCCUAAACACAACAGACCUGCAUGUUAGUUUUAGGUUGGGGUGACCACGGAGUAUAACUUAACCUCCACAGCAAACGGGCUAAUACCCUUAUCCACGAGACACAACUCUAAGAAUUAUUAAACUAAUGCUUACGACCCGAUAUUCGAUCCAUGAACCAAGUUACCCUGGGGAUAACAGCGCAAUCUACUUCAAGAGCCCAUAUCGACAAGUAG